This 460-nucleotide ribosomal RNA is filed under the name uncultured bacterium. Its description in RNAcentral is "partial 16S ribosomal RNA". It matches the Rfam family "Bacterial small subunit ribosomal RNA", at positions 338 to 795 of the family's 1533-position model. The record is from RNAcentral.
CCUACGGGAGGCAGCAGUGAGGAAUAUUGGUCAAUGGCCGGAAGGCUGAACCAGCCAUGCCGCGUGAAGGUCAGUGCCCUAUGGGCGUUAAACUUCUUUUGUGCGGGAGCAAUAAUGGUCACGUGUGGCCAGACGAGAGUACCGUACGAAUAAGCAUCGGCUAACUCCGUGCCAGCAGCCGCGGUAAUACGGGGGAUGCAAGCGUUAUCCGGAUUUAUUGGGUUCAAAGGGUGCGUAGGCUGUGAGGUAAGUCAGCGGUGAAAUGCCCCCGCUCAACGGGGUGAAGUGCCAUUGAUACUGCCUGGCUGGAAUGCGGAUGCCGUGGGAGGAAUGUGUGGUGUAGCGGUGAAAUGCAUAGAUAUCACACAGAACACCGAUUGCGAAGGCAUCUCACGAAUCCGCGAUUGACGCUGAUGCACGAAAGCGUGGGUAUCAAACAGGAUUAGAUACCCGAGUAGUC